AUUGGCGCUAAUACAACUCAGCUACAGGUGGGAUACUUUCUAUUGGCGCUAAUACAACUCAGCUACAGGUGGGAUACUUUCUAUUGGCGCUAAUACAACUCAGCUACAGGUGGGAUACUUUCUAUUGGCGCUAAUACAACUCAGCUACAGGUGGGAUACUUUCUAUUGGCGCUAAUACAACUCAGCUACAGGUGGGAUACUUUCUAUUGGCGCUAAUACAACUCAGCUACAGGUGGGAUACUUUCUAUUGGCGCUAAUACAACUCAGCUACAGGUGGGAUACUUUCUAUUGGCGCUAAUACAACUCAGCUACAGGUGGGAUACUUUCUAUUGGCGCUAAUACAACUCAGCUACAGGUGGGAUACUUUCUAUUGGCGCUAAUACAACUCAGCUACAGGUGGGAUACUUUCUAUUGGCGCUAAUACAACUCAGCUACAGGUGGGAUACUUUCUAUUGGCGCUAAUACAACUCAGCUACAGGUGGGAUACUUUCUAUUGGCGCUAAUACAACUCAGCUACAGGUGGGAUACUUUCUAUUGGCGCUAAUACAACUCAGCUACAGGUGGGAUACUUUCUAUUGGCUCUAAUACAACUCAGCUACAGGUGGGAUACUUUCUAUUGGCUCUAAUACAACUCAGCUACAGGUGGGAUACUUUCUAUUGGCGCUAAUACAACUCAGCUACAGGUGGGAUACUUUCUAUUGGCGCUAAUACAACUCAGCUACAGGUGGGAUACUUUCUAUUGGCGCUAAUACAACUCAGCUACAGGUGGGAUACUUUCUAUUGGCGCUAAUACAACUCAGCUACAGGUGGGAUACUUUCUAUUGGCGCUAAUACAACUCAGCUACAGGUGGGAUACUUUCUAUUGGCGCUAAUACAACUCAGCUACAGGUGGGAUACUUUCUAUUGGCGCUAAUACAACUCAGCUACAGGUGGGAUACUUUCUAUUGGCGCUAAUACAACUCAGCUACAGGUGGGGUACUUUCUAUUGGCGCUAAUACAACUCAGCAGUCGUUCGUCGUUAAGACUGCUUUUGAAAUGUUCAACUACAAUAAAAAAACGAGAACUAUUAUUGAUCCAGAAUGUAAAAAAAACAAAACAAGGAUCCAUGAAGCUUCAUUUUUAUUUCCUGUUGUUUUAUGGUCUGUUAUCAUGUGACCUUUUUGGAUUCAUAUCGCCAUGGUUACACUCAAGGGAGCACUUGAUGAAUGAUUUAGCCUCCAGAUUAUAAUCUCAUAAAACUCGUAACUACUCUGUAGAUAAAUUUUCGUUCCUCCGGUUGACCUUGACAACCUCUCUCUCUGUCUCUCUCUCUCUCUCUCUCUCUCUCUCUCUCUCUGUCUCUCUCUC
Oncorhynchus keta (chum salmon) is the source of this 1347-nucleotide long non-coding RNA. RefSeq lists it as uncharacterized. NCBI's taxonomy places the organism in Eukaryota, Metazoa, Chordata, Actinopteri, Salmoniformes, Salmonidae. The record is from RefSeq and is a predicted model, not a curated record. The transcript has 4 exons.